GCGCCCCCUCCCUACCCUUUCCCACGCGCGCCUCCUGGGGGUGCCCCCUUCCCAAGCCCCGGGCCCCUCCCGCCAACGGUCACCGGGGGUCCUGGCAGAGGCAGGGGGCCGGGGGAAACCAAGAGGGGUCUGCGAGGAGACGGGACCUGUGAGACAGGCGGGACCCGGUGGUGGCACCCCAACAAGCAGAAAGAGGGGAAGGGAGAUGAGGCAAAACUUAGGGAGGCUGCUCAGGAGGAACAGGGUGGGGUUUUAAGAGAGGGGAGCCUGCGGUACAGGAAGUCCCUCUACCCUCGAGGAAGCAGCAGCAGAAAUGGGCGCUGGAAGGCUCCAGGGCCCCUGGAGCAGGACUCAGAAGGGAAUUCCAGGGCAGAGGCUGCAGGGGCAGUCUGGAACAGGAAGGGGGCUGGGGCCGUGGAGCCCGCAAACGCAGAAUGGGCCACGCCUAGGGUGAAAGGGACAGGUGGGGAGCAGUGCGGUUUUUCUUCUCGCCCUCACUGCUCCCAGUCCUGGGGCUGACUUCCCCCGUCCUUUCUGCAACUCCACCACCCGCCGUCACCUCUUAGGGCCUUGAGGGUGUGCAGGCGUCUUCAAACUUCCAGUGGCUAUUCUGGGCCUGCCCAGAUUGGGUAUUCCCCGGAGACCUGGGAGUCCUGGAACCUGCUCUCCAGUCACUGGAGCCUCGGCCCCACCCUGGAUCUGGACUGCAGCCACUGGUGCUGCCUCCGGUGAGGGAGGAGCCAGCGCCCCAGAGCCACGGCUGGGGCUGGGUCGAGAGCAAGGCUGGGACUGACACCAGGCGGGGAAGAAACUCCUUGGGGGUGGGGACAGAGGGCUUGGUGAGAGCAAUUCAUCCAAUCCAGAGUCAGAGACAGGUUUUUAUUUAAAAUUUAUUGUAAUGGGGUCCGCGCAAAAGGAGGGGAUGAAGGGUGGGGAACAUGCAGGGGACACAGGAACACGAUGACAUGGCCAGGGCCACAGCUUCUGUCUUGGGGGAGAGGGAUGAAAAGAAAAGGCCAGGGCUGGAGCUGGGGUGGAAGAGGGACGGGGGAGACACUGUGACUGCAUUCCCCCCACCCCCAGGAAGCACCUCUAGUCCCUGGAUCCCCCCGUUUACCCUGGCACCCUAAAAUUCCAUCUCUUAUCCUGCCUCUGGCCCUAGUGGCUCCUUCUUUUGCUCCCCUUGACGUGUUUUCCCCUGACAGAUUCUAAGUAGGACAAUGUUUAGGGCCUGACCCUAAACAACCCCACCUUAUGAAGGUACUACCGUUGCCUUCCCUGCUUCUGCCCCUUCUCCAAUC
Molecule: long non-coding RNA, 1301 nt
Organism: Neofelis nebulosa (Clouded leopard)
Lineage: Eukaryota; Metazoa; Chordata; Mammalia; Carnivora; Felidae
Exons: 2
Source: RefSeq, a predicted model, not a curated record